Molecule: ribosomal RNA, 434 nt
Filed under: uncultured bacterium
Lineage: Bacteria
Description: partial 16S ribosomal RNA
Rfam family: Bacterial small subunit ribosomal RNA
Source: RNAcentral
AACGAACGCUGGCGGCAUGCCUAACACAUGCAAGUCGAACGAGAUCUUCGGGUCUUGUGGCGCUCGGGUGCGUACCGCGUGGGAAUCUGCCCUCAGGUUCGGAAUAACCAUUGGAAACGAUGGCUAAUAACGGUUGAUGACGUUAAGUCCAAAGAUUUAUCGCCCGUGGAUGAGCCCGCGUAGGUUUAGCUAGUUGGUGUGGUAACGGCGCACCAAGGCGUCGAUCCUUAGCUGGUCGGAGAGGAUGAUCAGCCACAAUGGAACUGAGACACAGUCCAGACUCCUACGGGAAGGAGCAGUAGGGAAUAUUAGACGAGGAGCGAAAGCCUAAUACAGCAAUGCCGCGUGAGUGAUGAAGGCCUUAGGGUAGUAAAGCUCUUUUACCCGAGAUGAUAAUGACAGUACCGGGAAAAUAAGCACCGGCUAACUCCGUG